UACGUAGGGUGCAAGCGUUGUCCGGAAUUAUUGGGCGUAAAGAGCUCGUAGGCGGUUUGUCGCGUCGGCUGUGAAAUCUCGGGGCUUAACCCCGAGCCUGCAGUCGAUACGGGCAGACUUGAGUUCGGUAGGGGAGACUGGAAUUCCUGGUGUAGCGGUGAAAUGCGCAGAUAUCAGGAGGAACACCGGUGGCGAAGGCGGGUCUCUGGGCAGUAACUGACGCUGAGGAGCGAAAGCGUGGGGAGCGAACAGG
Molecule: ribosomal RNA, 253 nt
Filed under: uncultured bacterium
Lineage: Bacteria
Description: partial 16S ribosomal RNA
Rfam family: Bacterial small subunit ribosomal RNA
Source: RNAcentral